UGGAUAUCUGCCUUUUGGUUCGGAAUAACCCCGGGAAACUGGGGCUAAUACCGGAUGGUUCCUUCGGGAUAAAGAUUUAUCGCCAAAAGAUGAGUCCGCGUACGAUUAGCUAGUUGGUGAGGUAAUGGCCCACCAAGGCAACGAUGCGUAGCCGACCUGAGAGGGUGAUCGGCCACAUUGGAACUGAGACACGGUCCAGACUCCUACGGGAGGCAG
This 216-nucleotide ribosomal RNA is filed under the name uncultured bacterium. Its description in RNAcentral is "partial 16S ribosomal RNA". It matches the Rfam family "Bacterial small subunit ribosomal RNA", at positions 118 to 351 of the family's 1533-position model. The record is from RNAcentral.